UCCUGUAUAGCUAAGUUGGCAAAAGCACUACAUUGGUUAUGUAGAUACCGGCGGUUCGAAUCCGCCUGCAGGAG
This 74-nucleotide transfer RNA is filed under the name Caudoviricetes sp. RNAcentral describes it as "tRNA-Thr". It matches the Rfam family "tRNA". Rfam says of the family: Transfer RNA (tRNA) molecules are approximately 80 nucleotides in length. Their secondary structure includes four short double-helical elements and three loops (D, anti-codon, and T loops). The record is from RNAcentral. Lineage: Duplodnaviria; Heunggongvirae; Uroviricota; Caudoviricetes.